UACAGAGACUGCAAGCGUUAUUCGGAUUCACUGGGCGUAAAGGGUGCGUAGGUGGCAAGGUGUGUUAGGCGUGAAAUCUCGAGGCUCAACCUCGAAACUGCACCUAAAACUACCUAGCUAGAGAUCUGGAGAGGAUAGCGGAAUUCACGGUGUAGCAGUGAAAUGCGUAGAUAUCGUGAGGAACACCAAUGGCGAAGGCAGCUAUCUGGACAGAAUCUGACACUCAAGCACGAAAGCGUGGGGAGCAAAAGGG
RNAcentral lists this ribosomal RNA (253 nucleotides) under uncultured bacterium. RNAcentral describes it as "partial 16S ribosomal RNA". It matches the Rfam family "Bacterial small subunit ribosomal RNA", at positions 524 to 776 of the family's 1533-position model. The record is from RNAcentral.